CUAAGAAUAUUCCGCAAUGGACGAAAGUCUGACGGAGCGACGCCGCGUGGAUGAAGAAGGCCGAAAGGUUGUAAAGUCCUUUUGUUGGGGAAGAAUAAGCGCGGGAGGGAAUGCCCGCGUGAUGACAUGAACCGACGAAUAAGCCCCGGCUAACUACGUGCCAGCAGCCGCGGUAACACGUAGGGGGCGAGCGUUGUUCGGAAUUACUGGGCGUAAAGGGCAUGUAGGCGGCCUUGUAAGCCUGGCGUGAAAGUCACCGGCUUAACCGGUGGAUUGCGUCGGGAACUGCAGGGCUUGAGUCACGGAGAGGGAGCUAGAAUUCCUGGUGUAGGGGUGAAAUCUGUAGAGAUCAGGAAGAAUACCAAUGGCGAAGGCAAGCUCCUGGCCGAUGACUGACGCU
Molecule: ribosomal RNA, 400 nt
Filed under: uncultured bacterium
Lineage: Bacteria
Description: bacterial SSU rRNA
Rfam family: Bacterial small subunit ribosomal RNA
Source: RNAcentral